CUCUUAUCCAGAGUGGCGGAGGGACUGGCCCUAUGAAGCCCGGCAACCGCCGGCCGUGCCGUCGCGGCCGGUAAGGUGCCAACUCCUGCAGGAUCCGGACGGGUCCUGAGAGAUGAGAG
RNAcentral lists this non-coding RNA (119 nucleotides) under Thermaerobacter marianensis. RNAcentral describes it as "SAM-I sequence". It matches the Rfam family "SAM riboswitch aptamer (S box leader)". Rfam says of the family: The SAM riboswitch is found upstream of a number of genes which code for proteins involved in methionine or cysteine biosynthesis in Gram-positive bacteria. Lineage: Bacteria; Bacillati; Bacillota; Clostridia; Eubacteriales; Clostridiales Family XVII. Incertae Sedis. RNAcentral also lists the same sequence under 1 other name. The record is from RNAcentral.